UACGGAAGGGGGCUAGCGUUGCUCGGAAUCACUGGGCGUAAAGGGUGCGUAGGCGGGUCUUUAAGUCAGGGGUGAAAUCCUGGAGCUCAACUCCAGAACUGCCUUUGAUACUGAGGAUCUUGAGUUCGGAGAGGUGAGGUGGAACUGCGAGUGUAGAGGUGAAAUUCGUAGAUAUUCGCAAGAACACCAGUGGCGAAGGCGGCUCACUGGCCCGAGUACUGACGCUGAGGCGCGAAAGCGAUGGGGAGCAAAGCAGGGAUUAAGAAACCCU
RNAcentral lists this ribosomal RNA (271 nucleotides) under uncultured bacterium. RNAcentral describes it as "partial 16S ribosomal RNA". It matches the Rfam family "Bacterial small subunit ribosomal RNA", at positions 524 to 789 of the family's 1533-position model. The record is from RNAcentral.